GAUGUGCCUGACUCUGUGACUUGAGAUCUGAUGUUUUUGACUCACUCUGGUUGCAGGUGAUGCCGGUCCAGCCUGCCGUACACACACAGCCAUCUCUCUCCUCUGCACACACACCACCGUUAGUGCAGUCAUCACAGGGUGUGUGUGUGUCUACAGUGUCAUAAGGUGUGUGUAGAGCGGCGGUGUACUGCAGGAGCUGAGGUGGUCGCCGGAACAGCAAGUCAGGAAGACGGAGCACUUCUAGCUGUUCUUCAUCACCAUCUGAGUCAUCCUCUUCUUCAGCAUUGCUUCCCAUCCACCCCAAGCUCAAAUCCAGGGUUACACACACACCUGAAGGAUCCUGGAGUGUUCACGCAGCCAUGAGCACACCCGGUUCUGCUGGAUACACACUCGUCCACAUCUGAGGAGAGAAAACUAAUUGUAUGUCAGAUAAUCAGACCAUCAGAUAAUCACACCAUCAGAUAAUCAGACCAUCAGAUAAUCAGACCAUCAGAUAAUCAGACCAUCAGAUAAUCACACCAUCAGAUAAUCACACCAUCAGAUAAUCAGACCAUCAGAUAAUCAGACCAUCAGAUAUAUUUCUCAUCCACUGAAAUCAAUGCUAAUCUUUUUCUGUGUAUUUUACCGUCACAU
Tachysurus fulvidraco (yellow catfish) is the source of this 633-nucleotide long non-coding RNA. RefSeq lists it as uncharacterized. The record is from RefSeq and is a predicted model, not a curated record. The transcript is spliced from 3 exons. Lineage: Eukaryota; Metazoa; Chordata; Actinopteri; Siluriformes; Bagridae.